Musa acuminata AAA Group (dessert banana) is the source of this 1134-nucleotide RNA transcript. RefSeq lists it as uncharacterized. The record is from RefSeq and is a predicted model, not a curated record. Lineage: Eukaryota; Viridiplantae; Streptophyta; Magnoliopsida; Zingiberales; Musaceae. The transcript is spliced from 5 exons.
GGCACGGCCAAGCCGCAGGAAACCCCACCGCCACAAUGGAGUUCUCGACCCGCGACGUCGGUGCGUGGAGUGAGUCGCUCUCUGCCUACGAUGGCCGCCUCGCCCUCCUCCGGAAGCCUGACCUCCUCCCCCUCGAUGCCUUCUACCGGGCAGAGCUCCCCGUCCUCCUCCGCCGCAGGGAACCCCGCCCCUUCCUCACCAAGCCGGAACUCCGCCGCCUCAUGCAGUGGAAGCUCUCCCGAGGCAAAUGGAGGCCUCGGUUGCUGGAUUACGUGUCGUCGCUGGACGAAGCGUCGGUGGACUCCGCCUCGCGGAGGGCGUUCGCGGCGCUCCCGGACCUCUCUAAGGCCGUCUCGGAGCUUACGGUGCUGAAGGGAGUCGGGCCGGCGACGGCGUCCGCUGUUUUAGCUGCCUACGCGCCGGAUGUCGCGCCUUUCAUGUCCGAUGAGGCUAUGAUGGCCGCGAUGGGGAACGUGAAAGAGUAUACUUUGAAGCAGUAUCUUGCAUUUGCCGAGAAGCUACAGACGAAGGCAAAGGAUUUAAGUGCUGAAGGGAUUAUUUUCACUCCUUCUGAUGUCGAGAGAGCUUUGUGGAGCUCGGCAGUAGGUUCCAAGUUGCUGAAGUCUCCACCAAAAGAUGAUUUAGAGGCUGGUGCCAGGAAAAGCAUUAAGAGGAAAAGAAAAUUUUGACUCGAGCUAAAGUAUCUUUCACUUGCUGUGGAGCAACUAGACAUAACUUCCAGUACACUUGUAAGCUGUAAUAUAUUGACAUCACCAACUUCGUCUCUUAGCUUUCAAUGUGAUGCUUGGGGUUAAUGAGAUGGAAUUUUCCCUGGACUUCAAAUGGUUCCAGGAUUUGGCAAUUGCUACCUGUUAACCAUGUCAGCUAGUUGGCUGUGAAGCCUUUGACUCCUUUUGGUGAUUAGAAGUGGAUAUAUAUACCUUGCGCCUGUUUAUGAGUGUGAAACAGAGACAGGAAAGCAUUCCAGCUGAACUGUUGGCUUGAGAUUACACUUGUAAUCAUCUCAUGUUGUUUUAUUGAUUUAGGUAUAGAUCAAUUUUAUAGUUAAUGAAGGAAAUGUAAACCUCUAUUUUGGAUAACUAAGAAAUCAGAAACCUUGUUUUCAAGUCCUUU